GAUGAACGCUGGCGGCGUGCCUAAUACAUGCAAGUCGAGCGAACAGAUAAGGAGCUUGCUCCUUUGACGUUAGCGGCGGACGGGUGAGUAACACGUGGGUAACCUACCUAUAAGACUGGAAUAACUUCGGGAAACCGGGGCUAAUGCCGGAUAACAUAUUGAACCGCAUGGUUCUAAAGUGAAAGAUGGUUUUGCUAUCACUUAUAGAUGGAUCCGCGCCGUAUUAGCUAGUUGGUAAGGUAACGGCUUACCAAGGCAACGAUACGUAGCCGACCUGAGAGGGUGAUCGGCCACACUGGAACUGAGACACGGUCCAGACUCCUACGGGAGGCAGCAGUAGGGAAUCUUCCGCAAUGGGCGAAAGCCUGACGGAGCAACGCCGCGUGAGUGAUGAAGGUCUUCGGAUCGUAAAACUCUGUUAUUAGGGAAGAACAAAUGUGUAAGUAACUGUGCACGUCUUGACGGUACCUAAUCAGAAAGCCACGGCUAACUACGUG
Molecule: ribosomal RNA, 497 nt
Filed under: uncultured bacterium
Lineage: Bacteria
Description: partial 16S ribosomal RNA
Rfam family: Bacterial small subunit ribosomal RNA
Source: RNAcentral